CUGCAAAGCGAAACGUACAAUUUUGUGGGCAAUUUAAAGCUUGCAAGUUAUAACUAACUAACUAGCUUCAAUGAUUAAAAGGAAUAAGGGGAUGUGUACCAUGUGCCUCAAAGCCAUGUCUAGAGACGACCUAGAAAGAGUUCUCCCGAAACCCGAGCAGGUGUUAUCGUCAAAUUUUGGAGGUGGCAGUUUCCUCAUGUUCACAACUCUUUCCACCAUUUGAGUCCCCAUCAACACAGGAUUCACAUCAUUGCUAAUCUUGGACCGUCCCGUUGAUCUGUCCGAUGAACUGUGGACUCUGCUUCUUGAGGCUGAGACAGGUCUAGCACGUGUUUCAGGGAUUGUUGGAGUUGUAGAUUUAGCACUAGAGACUGACUUUCCCACCGAGGAUGAACGGGUAAGAGCAGAUGCUCGUGGAUUGGAUUUGUUUGAAGUGGUUCUACUAUUUUGAUUCGAAUUUCGAGCAGAGUUGGUUAGUCUUGUGGAAGAUAAUGUGGCUCGUGAAGUGGGUGUGGCUUGUCUUGACGGUUUACUGCUUGGUAAUACUUCUGCAGCUGUGUUGGCUUGUUUGCUAGAAGCAGUUCUUGGGGUUGGCUUGGAAGCCUUAACGCUCCGUGUCACAGGUUCUUGCGGAAUGUUUUCAACCUUAAAGCAAAAGCAUGACAAAUAUCAAUCUUGUCUGUGUCCCCUAAAGACAAAGAUGGCUAAACGAAGAGGAUUCCAGGAAAGUAACAUUGAGAGUAGUUAGAAUCGGUUCUCACCCGUGGUUUCAGAGCAAUGGACCUAGCUUUAGGCUCCUUGACGUUAACCAUUGAGUUCUGUUUCCCUCCUAGUGUCUCAGGAGCCGCAAGUAACCUGGAAUCAGAUCAUCUCUAGCUGAAUAUCUCAACAAAAAGAGAGUACUCUAUUCGAAGAUUCUAUCUAACUGCAGCCAAUAGCAACCAGAUGAGACCAGUCAUGCAGACAUAUAAGCCUAUUAGAAGCAUCACCAUUGGAACACUACUAUGACAGAUAACUCAUAAACAUCUCAAAAUUCACAAGAAAAGAAAAUCAAAGAAGUACCACUCGUAAUCUGACUUAUCGUUCUCAGAGUCCAAAAACUUUUCAACAGCGCUCAUAGGCAGCUUAACACAGCUCCUUUUCAAAAGCUCCAAACUCUUUGUGCUAGUCUUGUCAACACUGUUUACUCCUGUCAAAAUCAAACAGCAAUAUUCAGGAAAUCAAAAUGUUGACUAGAAAUCAGCUACAAGAGCUAACCAAUCAACUCUAUAUUACUCAAAACGCACGAAACUAGUUCAAAUAAGCUGAGUUUAAGCAUUAUUUCUUAGAUUUAGGUUCCGUGAGCUCAGAUUCGGAGAAAUUGAAGUCAAAUUUGAAGAAACGAAGAUCCAGUAAAACUGAAUCUUCUCGCGUCUUCGCAUCUCCAGGAAUAGAGAGAGUUCUUCAUCUCCAUCACGAACCACCACCACAUUCUCCAUCAACAAAGAUUGAUUCAGUCGUAUAUUCACGAAACUGCCACUGUUCUGAUUCUCUCAGGUGCUCUCUUAUUUUUUCUGGAGGUGGAGCGUUAAUUACGUAGGGCCUAGUGACUGAAUCUAAGAUCUGAACCGUUGGAUGUACAACGGCGAUUGACUGAUCGGACGGUUGAUUUUUGAAUUGGACUGACCAAUGAGGGAGCCUCGUGUUUCGUGUGAAUUCAAACUCUUCACUUCUUUUAUUUGUUUUUUACACAUAUAAAUCUACACGGCCCAAUAGCUUAUUCGUUGGGCUUUUUAACCCACAAAAGCUCGCCAAUACUCUGAUUUUUUACAUUCUCACCAAAGGGUCUGAUUUUUUGACAUGAUAAGGUAAACAUCCCCCUAUUAAGCUCUUUGGUCUAAGAAGCAUAAACCUGUAAUGUGUUGAAAAAUAAUUUUGUAAGCUGUUGAAAAAUGCUUAACCUCUAAUGUGAACUGUGAAGGCUGUGAUGAUAUGGAAACAGCAAGACAGCCAGUUUCUAGGAGACCGAAACUGAGAUCCAUGUGAAUAUUUCUCAAUUUUUUAUAAGAUUUAUUAUUUUGUUAAUAUCUAUUUAUGUUUCUAAAUUUUAACAUGGCUUCAAUUGGUGAUCCAUUUGGAGAAAAAUAAUAAGAAUUCCUCCAAAUUCAUUCCUCUGUUUCUAACUUCUAGUUCUAGCUUCUAACAGUCGUCUACCACAAAAGAUACAAAUAUAGACAUCAAGCAGUGUUCAAGAAAGCGCUAGGCGCUAAGCGGGCGGUGACCCAGUGCCUAGCGCCUAGAACGCUUAAUCGGGGCCUAGGCGAUUUUUUAGGCGGUUUAGACGUUUAUAACAUAAAAAAUUAUAAAUAUAAUAUUAUAUAUAAAAGUUAUAUAAAAUAUCUAUAUAAAACUAAAAAUUAUGAAAUUAUAAACAAAAACUAGAUAAAACAUUUAUUUAUAUUUAUAUUAAAAAAUAUAUGAAUAUUUAUAACUAUAUAUAAAAAUAAAUCUCUAAUUGAAAUUGAAAAAAUACAUUAAACAAGAUCUAUGUGAUUUUAGGCGGUCAAGGCGGUAAUCUAGGCGUCGCAUGAGAGCCUAGCGUCUAGUCGGAGCCUAGGCGACCGCCUAGACCGCUUUUUAGAACACUGACAUCAAGACAAUGAAAUUUCAUCAACAAAUAAAUGAGGAGUGAUUUUGUUCUGUAGCUUUUGAGCUUUAGAUACGUGAGUCGCAAGGCAGUUAGAAUUAUAUAUCAAACAUCAAGUAGCAGAAAUAAUCGUCUUCCGUAUUUGACUGAUAAGUGAAAAAAAAGUGUUUGCCAUUUAGGCUUUGGACACAUAUUUCACACAAACACACCUAUUUGAUUUCCUGUCAUCUCUGCAUUCCUCUGCAAACAACACAGUGAUCUGAAACUAUGAUGUCUAUGACACUGCCCUUACCGAUCUUAAGUUUUCUGGUGAACUUGUUCCAUAGAUGCAGCCCAUAGCUUUCUCUGUUCAGCUUCACCAGAUCGGUUUUGAGUAACGUCGAGUCAUUGCUGCUCCUUGGCGUUUGAAACAGUCUCGGAAUGUCUAACCAAUUGAAUGGAUAGAAUGCUACUGGUGGCAGUACUGUGAAGUUAUCCCCAAUCGUUUCUCUUGCUCUUUGCACUACUCUUGUUACCAAGCAAGGACCAUUGUGUCCCCAUUUGUUCCCGUCAAAAGUCGAAGCAAACUCCUCCAUGAAACUGUAAACAAGCGGGUGAUGUUUUUCGAAGAUCAGAACCGCGUUGUUCAACGUUUUCCAGUUCUUUGAAUCUCCCUCCAGUAAUGUUUGUACUCCUAUUGAAUUCCUCAACCCUUUAAAGCUUCUUGUGACGAUGAAAUCGGUAUCUAGGUACACACCUCCGUACUUGUAAAGAAUUGCUAGCCUCGCGAGGUUUGAAAGAUUCUGAUGUAACGGUAUCCUUCCUGGAUCUCUUUUGCAGCUUUUCAUUUCUUGAAACCAAGAUUUAGCUGGUGUGUUCUCAAGAAGCAAUGAAAUGUCUGGUGUGGCUGCAAAAACCUUGUAACCGCGAUCAAUUAGCGGUUUUAGGAUGCUAUCUCCUUGUUGAGACUCCAUGGAUCCCGAUACAAUCAUUAAGCAUCCUCGAGGAUGUGAUUUAAAGACGCUUUCUACAGCCAAAAGUUCUCUCUUCCCAAAAAACUCUGCUGGUGAAAACCAUGUCAUGAAGAAUCUAACCUCACAUUUGUCGUCGAGAGAGUCAACAACCCUCUGAUGAAACUGCUCUGAAAGGUUGGUUGACCCGAAAACCUCGAAUUCUGUAAGAUGUGAUCGAAGCCAAGCGAUCCUGUCUCUGCUUGUACUGUUCUUUGGAGGAGCCAAUGACUUUCUCUCCAUUUUGUUUAUUUGUAUUACCUCAGAGGUCGGUGAAGACCAGAAGAAAGUUGAUUCUAGAGACAUGUUUGAGAGGAUUGUUCCCGCGACAACGAGCAGCACUAUGACCCCGAAAAUGGCGGUAGAGAAUACCGGGGAAUUCGUGUGCCUGAGUUGCCGGACAUCAAGUACUUCCGAGAGACUCUUCUUGCUACUAUUAUCAUUCUCCAUUGUUUCAGAAUGUCCUGAACAGAGAAGGAAAGUCAAAAGCUCACAUGGAGUCUAAAGCUAUUGCAGAUCUUAAGAAAGGUAUAUAAUAUAACCUCCUCAAUUAAUUGUUUCAGUAUUUUUCUAAACUAAUGUGAUUUUUUCUAAGUAGUUUAAUUCUAUGUAUUAUGGUCAUAUUUUGGAGGUGGCAGUUUCCUCAUGUUCACA
This 4269-nucleotide long non-coding RNA is filed under the name Arabidopsis lyrata. RNAcentral describes it as "long non-coding RNA (ALYR_LNC002133)". The record is from RNAcentral. Lineage: Eukaryota; Viridiplantae; Streptophyta; Magnoliopsida; Brassicales; Brassicaceae.